GGCUUUGCACAGAGGGGGUGCUGAGCCAGUGAGGUUUCUCCAAGGUACAACUGUUGCUAAUUGAAAACUUUUCUCAGUUCCCCACUGGGAAGACUUGCCAUGUAGUCAACACUGGCACUUUUCAAUAGUCUCUAUGGAGA
Small nuclear RNA from Oryctolagus cuniculus (rabbit), 140 nucleotides. Its record names the gene U4. It matches the Rfam family "U4 spliceosomal RNA". Rfam says of the family: U4 small nuclear RNA (U4 snRNA) is a component of the major U2-dependent spliceosome. The structure of U4 snRNA from yeast and human has been reported. The record is from Ensembl. NCBI's taxonomy places the organism in Eukaryota, Metazoa, Chordata, Mammalia, Lagomorpha, Leporidae.